Molecule: ribosomal RNA, 407 nt
Filed under: uncultured bacterium
Lineage: Bacteria
Description: partial 16S ribosomal RNA
Rfam family: Bacterial small subunit ribosomal RNA
Source: RNAcentral
AUUGAACGCUGGCGGCAGGCCUAACACAUGCAAGUCGAGCGGAGCGGCGGACGGGUGAGUAAUGCCUAGGAAUCUGCCUGGUCGUGGGGGAUAACGUCCGGAAACGGGCGCUAAUACCGCAUACUAUCAGAUGAGCCUAGGUCGGAGUGGCUGGUUGGUGGGGUAAAGGCCUACCAAGGCGACGAUCCGUAACUGGUCUGAGAGGAGGAUCAGUCACAUGGGAACGGGGACACGGUCCAGAUGCCUACGGGAGGCAGCAUUGGGGAAUAUUGGACAAUGGGCGAAAGCCUGAUCCAGCCAUGCCGCGUGUGUGAAGAAGGUCUUCGGAGUGUAAAGCACUUUAAGUGGGGAGGCGGUACCAACAGAAUAAGCACCGGCUAACUUCGUGCCAGCCGCCGCGGUAAUUC